AAAAAACAAAAACAAAAACAAAAACAAACAACAACAACAACAAGAAUUUAGCACAGUGUCUGGCAUGUGGAAAGCACUCUAUAAAUGUUAGCUAUUUUACUAUUUCAUCACAGAUUCUUAUAGGACAGUGGCCACCACUUACGUAUGUACUCCAGAAUCUGACACACUGUAAGCAUUUAACAUUAAAUAAUCCAAAAUAUAAUAGCUAGUUAUGGUUUUACCAAAAACAAAAUUUAGGUCAUUAUUAAACAAAAAUGCUAAGGAUCAGGCAUAUGGCACGUUUCCUAAAGCAUCCUGUAUAGAACCAUCUCUACCAUUCAGUAAAUUAUAGAAGAGGAAAUUGUUUUCUUCCGUAUGAAGCUUUAUGGAAAUCAUGACUAACAAUGCAUUGUAUUCUAGAUAUUUACUUUUAUUACUCUGAGAGUAUCUGUGACCAACAGUGGAAAUACAAGCAAAAGGAUGUGCACAGGAAUUUUAGGACAGUCUGUCUUAACACCUUAGCAGCAAACAGAACUUGUACUCCUCCAGCCUCCUUUCUCUCUCCCUGUCCCCUUUUCUUUCCCUUUCUCUCCUCCCUCAAAGACACUAUGUCUCACCCUCUUCCCCUCCCUUGUCUUCCCAGUUGUCUAUGCUGGUGUGUCCUGUAUUAACAAAAUGGGCCAUAAGCCUGAGCCUUGGGGUUAUCACAGAGAAUUUAGCUUCACUCACUCUUGGGCCAAUUUCACUAUAAAGAGUUUUAUUUCCAGUAGAUUUCCAAAAUUAAAUGAUCAUUAUACCACAGUGUCUUAGUCUGUUUUCGUGUUGCUAUAAAGAAAAUACCUGAGGCUGGGUAGUCUAUAAAGAAAUGGCGCAGCCAGGCAUGGUGGCUCACUGCCUGUAAUCCCAGCACUUUGGGAGGCCAAGGAUGGGUGGACUGCUUGAGCUCAGGAGUUUGAGAUCAGCUUAGGCAACAUCUUUGUAGAGAUGGCAAAACCCCAUCUCUACAAAAAAUACAAAAAUUAGCCAGGCAUGGUGGCACAUGCCUGUGGUCUCAGCUACUAGGGAGACUGAGGUGAAGGACUGCUUGAGCCCAAGGAGAUUGAGGCUGCAAUAAGCCAACAUUGCACCACUGCACUCCAGCCUGGGUAACAGAGACUCUGUCCCACACCCCCCACCCACCCUCCCCGAAAAAAAAGAAAGAAAAAGAAAAGAAAUAGUUGGCGGCUAUACUACGCAAGAGGCAUGGCGCCAGCAUCUACUUCUGGUGAGAGCUUCAGGCUGCUUCCUCUCAUGGCAGAAGGCUAGCCAAUUAGAGAUCACAUAGCAAGAGAGAGGAACGAAGAGGGUAGGGGAGUGGUGCCAGACUCUUUUUAACAACUAGCUCUUGUGGGAACUCAUAAAGGGAGAACUCACCCAUUACCUCUAGGAGGGCACCAAGCCAUUAACGAGGGAUCUGCCCCCAUAACCCAAAUAUCUCCCAAUAAGCCCCACCUCCAACAUUAGGAAUCAAAUUUCAACAUGAGGUUUGGGGACAAAGAGCCAAACUAGCACACAGCAACCAGAUCUUGAAUCUUCUUUGGCCUCAUUAAAAUGAAGGCUGAUCCCUGUACUACUCCUUCCCCAGCCCCUGAGCUACCCGGGGCAGACCUUCCAAACUCCCAAGAACCUAUUGUGAGCCAAGGAUGUCAACAAAGCUAACAAUUGACACAGUAUCAAUGGUAUUUGGAUCACGGCAGCUUCUAUCCCAAUUAAGCCUAUACACCCGGCCACUGUUUUUAAAAAACACACUUCAGCACAGUCUUGACUAUGACAUUCAGUCUGGAAUAAGGGCAAUCCUGAAAUGCUUGUUGAAUGAGUCAAGCUCAUCUUUUUUCUGAGUUUAAAUAGAAUAACUAUGGAGCAUAGUGGACUGGAACCACCAGGCACUAGUCAGGUGUCUACUGCUGAUCAAAUGUAAUCUGAGAGGGCCCUUAAUCUCUGAGCCUCAGUCUCUUUACCAUAAAUAUGUCUAAGGUCCCUUCAAGAACUAACGUGACAUGAUAUUCUGUCAGUCUUGACUAAAUGUUCUGCUUAUUUGAAUUCAGAUCAUGGUCUCCACCGUCUCUACGCUCUUUUGAAAACCACACCCAACACAACCAAAGCUAAAAAUAGCUAGAGAGAGACACUAAGGAAAAGAUCUAAACAAAGUUCUAUGGCAGAGAUCUCAUCCAUCAGACUUCGACAACUAUUAGGAGGGCUGAAUCCAGGCUACCAAGGGAACACUUUAAGAAUAUUCUGGUCAUCACAUAAUUUGUAGACUCAUGUAAACUUAUAUUCAUUCCCUUAUUAAACACUGUGUACUGUAUAUAAGGUACUACGAAAGAGGCAAAGUCCCUUCUCUCUUAGAGGGCUUGUAUAUUUAUUUUACUUAAUCAAGGCCUUAUCAUGUCCUUCAUUUUCCCAUUGCUCAAAAGAUUGACUGCUGUAAAUUAAGCCAUGUGUACUCCUACAGCCAGGUCUUAAAGGAAAUAAAAGCUAUAAAAUAAGAUUUCAAAAUGAUGUCUGCCUUCCCUGACAUCAACUAAUUGCAUGAUUUACCUCCAUUUAUACCUCCUUUCUUCUACAUGCAAUAAAGAAUCUCGUUUUGAAACCUUUUCCUUAUCUUUAAUAUUUAAAGGGAAUUUAAACAUUUCUCCCAAAGGACGUUUUGUUCAUGGGCAAAGUACCUCUUGAAAAUAUACAGUGGGUAGGAGAAGCACAAGAACUUCGAUGUGGUACAGAAAGGACGACAGGUAAUAUGAGUAUAUCAGUAUAUACAUGUGGACAUCACCAUAAAGUUUCUAAGUCCUCCAUUUUAAAAUAUAUUUUUAUGUAUAUAGUUAAAUUAUUUUCAGCUAUUAAGAGUUCUACGUAUUUGAGAUGAAAGAAGUCUCUUCCAUUGCUGUUUAAGCUUGGUUUUACUAGGAGGGUCUAAAAACCAUUUGAAGCCUUGAUAAGUUUUAUUAUAAGGUCUUAGUCUAUUUAACUGUUGUUGUCUUUGAUUUCAAUGUCCCACCACCUGCAGAGUGUGAAUUCUAGGAAUAUGCGUAUGUUAAGAAAGUCUAUGAAGCAACUGGUAGAAUUUAUGUUUAAUAGAAGUCAAUUAAGACCUUCUAGAGGCACGGUGACAACUUGCUAAGAAAGUGUGAUAAAGACAGAUCAGCUCCAGCAAGGCAAAAUAGAAACUUGACUAUCAUUAACUUUGAAAUUAAUGCAGCAAAACAGAAACUACCUUCUGGCUAAUUUGCCUAACACAGUUUCAUGAUCCCCAAAUGUUGCUCUACGGAAAUAGUCAAGAAAAUUCUUAGUUGAGAACAUGAUAUGACAUUCUCCUGUUUUCCUGCCAUGUCACUAUCCACACUCCUUAAUCUCCUCGGUUGCCUCCUCCUCCUCAUCCUCCCCACCUAUGCAUGCUAGAAUGGCCCCAGGGCUCAAUCAUUUGCGUGUCCUCCUCUCUUUUCUAUCUAUACUCAACCCUUAAGUAAUUUCAUGGCUUUAAAUUUAUACCUACAGUCCAGAUCUUCCCCCAAGAGAUGUCUUGUCUAUGUGACAUCUCCAUUUGAAUGUCUAAUGGACACAUCAAACUUAAUACAUCCAAAACUGAACUGAUUUCCAGUCUGAUUCUCCAUCAGUCUUCCUAUUUCAGGAGAGAAGUUUAUAAUUGUUCAGCCCCAAAAUCUUGGAGUCAUCUUUGAUCACUUCUUUGAAUAUGACUACCAUAUUCAUAGAAUUCAUACAUAUUCAUAUAAAUCAUCAGCAAAUCUCGUUGGGCCUACCUUCAACAUCUAUCUAGAAUCUGAGUCCUUCCUGCUGCUUCACCAAGCCAACAACUUCUCUCACCACAAAUACCUUUUUUUUUUUUUUUUUUUUUUUUUUUUUUUUUUUUUUUGAGACAGAGUCUCCCUCUGUUGCCCAGGCUGGAGUGCAGUGGCACGAUCUCAGCUCACUGCAACCUCCACCUCCUGGGUUCAAGCGAUUCUCCUGCCUCAGCCUCCAGAGUAACUGGGAUAUUACAGGCAUGUGCCACCACGCCCAGCUUUUUGUAUUUUCAGGUGAGAUGUGGUUUCACCAUAUUGGCCAGGCUGGUCUUGAACUCCUGACCUCAAGUGAUCCACCUGCCUCGGCCUUCCAAAGUGCUAGGAUUAUAGGCGUGAGCCACAGCAUCCAGCCUCUCACCUCAAAUACUGAAAGAGCUCCCUAACUGGUCUCUUGCCUCUACCCCUGCCCUGAUAUAGUCUACCCAACAUGGCAGCCACAACAGUCAUUUUAGAAGGCACAUCAGAUCUUGUCAUUACUCUGCUCAAAACCUUCCAAUACUUUCCCAUCUCAGAGUUAAAAGCCUAAAAACUGCAUGAGGCCCUAUACAAUCUCCCCUGCCCUUUCUCUUUGAUCUUACCUACUACUCUCCCUCUCCCUCAGCUCCAGCCAUACUGGACUCCUUGCUGUUACCAGCACAAACUAGUGACUGUCCCACUCAGGGUCUUCGCACUUGCUGUUUCUUCUGCGUGCAAUGCUGUGCCCCCAGGUGAUCCAUCUGGCCUGCUUCCUCAUGUCCUUCAAGGCUCUGUUCAAAUGUCACCCUCCCUGUGAGGCCUUCCCUAACCAUCUUAUUUAAAAUCACAACCCCACCAUCCCACCACUCUGCUGGCAUGUCCCUAAAUCCACUCCCCUGCUUUAUUUUUCCUCAUAGCACUUAUUAACAUCUGGAGAACUAUAUACAGUCGGCACUUCACGUGGACUCCGCAUCCACAGAUUCAACCAAGCACAGAUUGAAAAUGUAGUUAGGCCUACAAUGGUUGCAUCUGUACUGAACAUGUACAGACUUCUUUUCUUGUCAUUAUUCCCUAAACAAUACAGUAUAACAACUAUUUACAUAACAUUACAACGUAACAGGUAUUGUAAGUAAUCUAGAGAUGACAAAGUGUACAGGAAAAUGUUCAUAGGUUAUAUACAAAUGCUACAACAUUUUAUUAUAAGAGACUUCAGCAUCCGAGGAUUUUGGUGUGGGGGACACUCUAGAAUCCAUCCCCCAUGGUUACGGAGAGAUGAUUGUAUUUUCAUUAUCUCUUUACACUAGAACGUAUGCUCCAUGAUGGCAGGGAUUUCUGACUGCUUUCUUCACAGCUGUCCCCAGUGCCUAAAAAACCGACUACAGAUAGAUGCUUUCAAAACUGUUGGAUGAAUGAUACUGAAAUAUUACAAGGCAAAAUACAUUAUUACCUGAAUACAUUAAAUAUUAUGAGAAGCAGAAAUCCCAAUCACCCACACUCACACAGUUUUGCAAAAAGAGACAUCAUAGUUUGUUUCUUAAAAAUGCAUUAAAGUCUAAUUGAUGGUUUUGUUAACAUCAUUCUCUCUGUGCCUAAAGAGUCCUAGGUCACACCUAAAAGGUACAGUUUUAGCUUCAGUAGGCAAACGGAAAAGAAAAAUACAGGCUUUUUUCCUUUCAUUAGUCAUCACUGACAGAAGGCCUCCAAGUGACCCUGGUGCCACAAAUGUUUAGGAUCUUUAGGGAAGAAAGGAGUCUAGAAAAAUAACAAUAUUCCUUCACCAAUCUCGAGAAGAAUCUCUCCAAAUCUCUCUGCAGACAUUUUUUCUUCAUAUCCUUUAACAAAGCCAUUCUUAACAUGUACAUGAAAUCUUAGUUGAAGAAACAAUGUGAUUACAUAAUUACACAUACGGAAAAACUUGGUAUUCUAUUAUCUCUCCAAAUUUUUUUUUAACUAAAACUAGACUUACAGUUUUUGUUGAAAAUGUUUUGUGUUUCUACCUCCGAAGAAUAUGAAAAAAAGAAAAUGUUUUGCUCUGAAGCUGAGUUAAGAAGAAGAUAGCCAAGACGUGGGUUGAUGGGGACUGUAUUUUAAGGCUGAACAGUUUUGUUUACUAUUGUUUAUUAUUUAAUAUAUUCUUCCCAGUCUCCCCACCCCCACCAAAGGAAAAGCGAAAAAUUUACGUUAGUGCAAUCAAUAAGGAAUUAUUUGUCCAAAGGAAGUUGUUCUGAAAGGCUAUGACCUAAGUCUUUAACACAAAGUUCAGGCGGUAGAUGUCACUUCUCUCACCCAUUUAACAACAACAACAAAUCAAGAUUCAGAUCCCGCGGAGGCAAGCAGAAAGGAACAGGCGUGAAAAAUGAAAUCAGUUGUUUCUCCCCGGCCUCCUCUCGACACUGCGCACUCCGCUGCCCUGCCCCCGCCCAUCGCCCUUUAGCGGCCCCUUUUAACGGCGUCGUUUGCCCAGCACAGCCCCGCACUGCGCCAUCAAAUGAGUCAAGCGGAAGGACCGGUACCCCUCCGGGAAAACCAGGCACUAACACACGGUGCACCCAACUGAAUUUAAACUCGGGAACAGUGUAGGCAGUGUCAACAAAGCGCGGUGCUGGGUCCCGAGCGUCCAAAGGUCCCUGCCAGCUCCCAGACGCGGCCAAAUCCACAGGAUUCCAAAAGGUAGCCAAGAAAUAUUCACAUGAAGGGACAAUGGGAGAGGAGCUGGCAAGAGUUUGGGCAGUACUUGGAAGAUGCAUUCCUUAUCAUAUAGAUUACAUAUGGCAGUGAAUUGACAGAGGAUUCACUGGGACAUCUUCAGAAAGAUAUCUGAAAAGGAGAGACUCUAUGGAGUGUGGAUGUAGAAAAGGAGUUAUUCCUACCGGAAAAAAAUGAACUGUGGACACAGUCACUCAAGACCAGAGAAACAACCACUAUGAGUAAGUAGCUUCAAUUUCACUGUUACCAGGAGGGCACACACCAGAAAGCCUGGGACAAAGCCUGGGCUAGAGCCCUCAGGAUUCAUUCUCAGGCUUCCUGGUGCUGUGGUUCAACAGCCUUUGUGGGGAUGGGGAGAACCAGAGACUAUCACCAUCACAUGUAAAAAAUAUUACCACAGCAACAGCUGUCAAAAACCAGCUGGAGCUGAAGUUACACACCAUUUGAAAUCCACACUGUACUUGCUUUCUUGUGAUGGGCUUGAGACAUGUGCAGAGACACCUUAAACAUGUGUAGGUGACCACCCUUUUGAAAGGCAGAGGAGGGCCUCUUCAUGAACUCUUUCUACUCAUUUGUUUUCCUAUCAGUUCACCAUUUCAACUAGAAAAGAUGC
This 7089-nucleotide long non-coding RNA is filed under the name Homo sapiens (human). RNAcentral describes it as "HSALNT0187424". The record is from RNAcentral. Lineage: Eukaryota; Metazoa; Chordata; Mammalia; Primates; Hominidae.